This 1766-nucleotide non-coding RNA is filed under the name Aquilaria agallochum. Its description in RNAcentral is "bacterial SSU rRNA". It matches the Rfam family "Bacterial small subunit ribosomal RNA". Lineage: Eukaryota; Viridiplantae; Streptophyta; Magnoliopsida; Malvales; Thymelaeaceae. The record is from RNAcentral.
AGAGUUUGAUCCUAGCUCAAAAGGAAUGCUAACUUUAUGCUUAACACAUGCAAGUCAAAUGUUGUUUCCGGGGAGCUAGGCAGAAGAAAAAGUGGCUCCUAGCUAAAGCUAGCUUUUCUCACCCAGGAGGUGGGAACAAUUGAGAACAAAGUGGCGAACAGGUGCAAAACACGUGGGAAUCUGCCGAAUAGUUUGGGCUCAAUCUUGAAGAAAGCUAAAAAGCACUGUUUGAUGAGCCUGUGUAGUAUUAGGUAGUUGGUCAGGUAAAAGCUAACCAAGCCAGUGAUGCUUGGCUAGUCGUUUUGGAUGAUCAACCACACUGGGACUGAGACACGGCUUAGACUCCCAUGGGGGACAGCCAUGGGGAAUCUUGGACAAUGGACGAAAGCCCGAUCUAGCAAUAUCUCAUAAGUGAAGAAGGGCAAUGCCGCUUGUAAAGCUCUUUCAUCGAGUGCAUGAUCAUGACAGGACUCGGGGAAGAAGCCCUGGCUAACUCCGUGCCAGUAGCCACGGUAAAACCGGGGGGCAAGUGUUUUUCGGAAUGACUAGGCAUAAAGGGCACGUAGGUGGUGAAUCAGGUUGAAAGUGAAAGUCACCAAAAACUGGCGAAAUGCUCUUGAAACCAAUUCACUUGUGUAAGACAGAGAAGAGUGGAAUUUCGUGUGGAGGGGUGAAAUCCAAAGAUCUAAGAAGGAACGCCAAAAGUGAUGGCAGCUCUUUGGGUCUCUACCAAUGCUGGGGUGUGAAAGCAUGGGUAGCAAACGGGAUUAGAUACCCUGGUAGUCCAUGCCGUAAAUGAUGAGUGUUUGCCCUUGGUCUACACAGAUCAGGGGCCCAGCUAAUGCAUGAAACACUCCACCUGGGGAGUACGGUCACAAGACUGAAACUCAAAGGAAUUGACGGGGGCUUGCACAAGUGGUGGAACAUGUGGUUUAAUUUGAUACAACACGCAAAACCUUACCAGCCCUUGACAUAUGAACAACAAAACCUGUCCUUAAUGGGAUGGUACUGACUUUCAUACAAGUGAUGCAUGGCUGUUGUCAGCUCGUGUUGUGAGAUGUUUGGUCAAGUCCUAUAAUGAGCGAAACCCUCAUUUUGUGUUACUGAGACAUGCACCUAAGGAGAAAGUCUUUGCAACCGAAGUGACCCGAGUAAUGUGCCAGCACUACUAAUUGACUGCCGACACGUAGCUAUGCUAUUAGUAAGAAGGGAGUCGGCGUUUUUCAAAGCACUUUUGAAUGUGCGCUUUUUGUAGCAGAAAAAGACUUGGCAUUCAGGCAAGCCACUCGGUGGUGUGGUACAUAGUGGGUUUAGUACGCCCCUCCGGAACAAACUAAAGGGUGCAUGCUGCACUCACGAGGGACUGGCAGUGAAAUACUGGAGGAAGGUGGGGAUGACAUCAAGUCUGCAUGGCCACACACGUGCUACAAUGGCAAUUACAAUGGGAAGCAAGGCUGUAAGACGGAGCGAAUCCAGAAAGAUUACCUUAGUUCGGAUCGUUCUCUGCAAUUCGGGAACAUGAAGGUGGAAUCGCUAGUAAUCGUGGAUCAGCAUGCCGUGGUGAAUAUGUAAUCGGGGCCUGUACACUCCGCUUGUCACACCCUAGGAAUUGGUUUCGCCCGAAGCAUCGGACCAAUGAUCACCCAUGACUUCUGUGUAUAACUAGCGCAACAAAGGCUUUUGGUGGUCUUAUUGGCGCAUGCCACGGUGGGGUCUUUGACUGGGGUAAAGUUGUAAUAAAGUAGCCGUAGGGGAACCUGUGGCUG